This 292-nucleotide ribosomal RNA is filed under the name uncultured bacterium. RNAcentral describes it as "partial 16S ribosomal RNA". It matches the Rfam family "Bacterial small subunit ribosomal RNA", at positions 505 to 796 of the family's 1533-position model. The record is from RNAcentral.
GUGCCAGCAGCCGCGGUAAUACGUAGGUGACAAGCGUUGUCCGGAUUUACUGGGCGUAAAGAGCGCGCAGGCGGUCGAUCAAGUCGAGUGUGAAAGCCCCCGGCUCAACUGGGGAGGGUCAUUCGAUACUGAUCGACUCGAAGGCAGGAGAGGGUAGUGGAAUUCCCGGUGUAGUGGUGAAAUGCGUAGAUAUCGGGAGGAACACCAGUGGCGAAGGCGACUACCUGGCCUGUUCUUGACGCUGAGGCGCGAAAGCUAGGGGAGCAAACGGGAUUAGAUACCCCAGUAGUCC